RNAcentral lists this ribosomal RNA (643 nucleotides) under uncultured Actinomycetes bacterium. Its description in RNAcentral is "bacterial SSU rRNA". It matches the Rfam family "Bacterial small subunit ribosomal RNA", at positions 232 to 885 of the family's 1533-position model. Lineage: Bacteria; Bacillati; Actinomycetota; Actinomycetes. The record is from RNAcentral.
CGCGGCCUAUCAGCUUGUUGGUGAGGUAGUGGCUCACCAAGGCGACGACGGGUAGCCGGCCUGAGAGGGCGACCGGCCACACUGGAACUGAGACACGGUCCAGACUCCUACGGGAGGCAGCAGUGGGGAAUAUUGCACAAUGGGCGCAAGCCUGAUGCAGCGACGCCGCGUGGGGGAUGAAGGCCUUCGGGUUGUAAACCCCUUUCAGCAGGGAAGAAGCGAAAGUGACGGUACCUGCAGAAGAAGCGCCGGCUGACUACGUGCCAGCGGCCGCGGUAAUACGUAGGGCGCAAGCGUUGUCCGGAAUUAUUGGGCGUAAAGAGCUCGUAGGCGGUUCGUCGCGUCUGCUGUGAAAGCACGAGGCUCAACCUCGUGUCUGCAGUGGGUACGGGCGGACUAGAGUGUGGUAGGGGAGACUGGAAUUCCUGGUGUAGCGGUGGAAUGCGCAGAUAUCAGGAGGAACACCGAUGGCGAAGGCAGGUCUCUGGGCCACAACUGACGCUGAGGAGCGAAAGCGUGGGGAGCGAACAGGAUUAGAUACCCUGGUAGUCCACGCCGUAAACGGUGGGCACUAGAUGUGGGGCUCUUUCCAUGAGUUCCGCGUCGCAGCUAACGCAUUAAGUGCCCCGCCUGGGGAGUACGG